RNAcentral lists this ribosomal RNA (586 nucleotides) under uncultured bacterium. RNAcentral describes it as "bacterial SSU rRNA". It matches the Rfam family "Bacterial small subunit ribosomal RNA", at positions 337 to 916 of the family's 1533-position model. The record is from RNAcentral.
UCCUACGGGAGGCAGCAGUGGGGAAUAUUGCACAAUGGGGGAAACCCUGAUGCAGCCAUGCCGCGUGUGUGAAGAAGGCCUUCGGGUUGUAAAGCACUUUCAGUUGUGAGGAAAAGUUAGUAGUUAAUACCUGCUAGCCGUGACGUUAACAACAGAAGAAGCACCGGCUAACUCCGUGCCAGCAGCCGCGGUAAUACGGAGGGUGCGAGCGUUAAUCGGAAUUACUGGGCGUAAAGCGCACGCAGGCGGUUUGUUAAGCUAGAUGUGAAAGCCCCGGGCUCAACCUGGGAUGGUCAUUUAGAACUGGCAGACUAGAGUCUUGGAGAGGGGAGUGGAAUUCCAGGUGUAGCGGUGAAAUGCGUAGAUAUCUGGAGGAACAUCAGUGGCGAAGGCGACUCCCUGGCCAAAGACUGACGCUCAUGUGCGAAAGUGUGGGUAGCGAACAGGAUUAGAUACCCUGGUAGUCCACACCGUAAACGCUGUCUACUAGCUGUGUGUGCCUUUAAGGCGUGCGUAGCGAAGCUAACGCGCUAAGUAGACCGCCUGGGGAGUACGGCCGCAAGGUAAAACUCAAAUGAAUUGACGG